RNAcentral lists this unclassified non-coding RNA (588 nucleotides) under Hevea brasiliensis (rubber tree). Lineage: Eukaryota; Viridiplantae; Streptophyta; Magnoliopsida; Malpighiales; Euphorbiaceae. The record is from RNAcentral.
CAAUAAGAAAUGCUAAGUUCUUAUUUUGAAUAAAAAAAUAUAUUGGACUACCAUUACAUGAUAAUAUUGAUACGAGAAACAACAUAUUAACUUACAAGUACUGUAUGUCAAGCAAACUAUUCCACCGGUUUGCUUGUUUUAUUCUUGUUUCCGUAUAUCAAUCCAGUUUCCUGCGGAUCCGGUAUGGGUUUUCGUUUCUCAACAUAUCUAUAAGGAUCUGCAGCUGCAAGUGCUGCCCUUUGCUCUUGUUCUUUCUUGAGGUCCUGGGAGGGCUUGAUCCAGAGAAAGUAGGCUAGGGUUCCUGCAACAAGCCACGAAGCGAGGUUGCUUCCUCCUCUAAGGCCUCCCAUUGAAUUCCCUAUAAACGUCCUCACAUUUCCCAGUGUUCUUCUCCAAUCACUCGACAUUGCUGCAAAUUUUUCCCCACUUAGUGAUCCUAGAGCUUUGUUCAAUAAUUUCUGGAUUAGGUUUUAUCUACUUCCACCCACAAGGCUUGACCAAAAUCAACAGUUGCGAUUAACGCUAUAUUAGUGCCAAUUUCCGAGGCCGAGUCCUGCGUCACUGAGCGAUUUACACUGGAGCAAUAAC